GACGAACGCUGGCGGCGUGCUUAACACAUGCAAGUCGAACGGAAAGGCCCUGCUUUUGUGGGGUGCUCGAGUGGCGAACGGGUGAGUAACACGUGAGUAACCUGCCCUUGACUUUGGGAUAACUUCAGGAAACUGGGGCUAAUACCGGAUAGGAGCUCCUGCUGCAUGGUGGGGGUUGGAAAGUUUCGGCGGUUGGGGAUGGACUCGCGGCUUAUCAGCUUGUUGGUGGGGUAGUGGCUUACCAAGGCUUUGACGGGUAGCCGGCCUGAGAGGGUGACCGGCCACAUUGGGACUGAGAUACGGCCCAGACUCCUACGGGAGGCAGCAGUGGGAAUAUUGCACAAUGGGCGGAAGCCUGACGCAGCAACGCCGCGUGCGGGAUGACGGCCUUCGGGUUGUAAACCGCUUUCGCCUGUGACGAAGCGUGAGUGACGGUAAUGGGUAAAGAAGCACCGGCUAACUACGUG
Molecule: ribosomal RNA, 467 nt
Filed under: uncultured bacterium
Lineage: Bacteria
Description: partial 16S ribosomal RNA
Rfam family: Bacterial small subunit ribosomal RNA
Source: RNAcentral